UUAACCCGGGACGCGGCCGCCGCGGCCAGGCGGCUGCCAUGGUGACGGGCCCGCCCCCUUCCCGCGCUGCUAUUGGCUGGACGAGCGUCAGCACCGUCCUCAGCACCUCCCCGUCCAUUUUAGGAGAAGCUGCUUGUUGGGCAAGGAACAUAAGUCUGUCAGUGAGAUCUAGGCAAGAAACAAACAUGAAAUCCAGCCAUCUUCUGGAAAUGCUGCAGCAUCAGUUGAAAAAACAGGAAGGAAGAGCCAAUGUUUUUCCAUUCUUAUCAUCACAAUUACUAUGUAUGUUUUAAGACUAUUUUUAAUGAAGCUCAUUUUUUACCACUGUA
Molecule: long non-coding RNA, 329 nt
Organism: Pseudopipra pipra
Lineage: Eukaryota; Metazoa; Chordata; Aves; Passeriformes; Pipridae
Exons: 2
Source: RefSeq, a predicted model, not a curated record